CGGACUAUUUCAGAAUCUAUGUUGUUUAUUCCUUUGUUGUGUGUUCACAAACACCCCCAUUAGAGUUUAUUUUGUGAUUUCUCCGCUGGGUUUUCUGUUUUGAUGCAGUGUUUUUGAUUUUCUUAGUGUCAUUAAAGGUAUCGUUACUUUACGUUUUUGGAGGCGGUCUUUGAACGCCUCUCGAGUCGAACGGCGGAAGAGAAGGCACGUAGUAGGACAGAGACGUGUCUGUAUUUAUUGAGAGUGUUAAAAGCAUUAAUAAAUUGGACGUUUUAAAAACCCAACACUACAGCUCUCCUUGUUUCGGAGCUGCAACAUGUAGUAGUUCUUUCUUU
This is a long non-coding RNA of Hippocampus comes (tiger tail seahorse), 335 nucleotides long. RefSeq lists it as uncharacterized. Lineage: Eukaryota; Metazoa; Chordata; Actinopteri; Syngnathiformes; Syngnathidae. The transcript is spliced from 3 exons. The record is from RefSeq and is a predicted model, not a curated record.